UACGUAGGUGGCAAGCGUUGUCCGGAUUUAUUGGGCUUAAAGGGUGCGUAGGCGGCUCCUUAAGUCAGUGCUGAAAUACUCUAGCUUAACUAGAGGGGUGGCAUUGAUACUGAGGAGCUUGAGUAGAGUCGAGGUAGGCGGAAUUGACGGUGUAGCGGUGAAAUGCUUAGAUAUCGUCAAGAACACCGAUAGUGUAGACAGCUUACUGGGCUUCAACUGACGCUGAGGCACGAAAGUGUGGGGAGCAAACAGG
RNAcentral lists this ribosomal RNA (253 nucleotides) under uncultured bacterium. RNAcentral describes it as "partial 16S ribosomal RNA". It matches the Rfam family "Bacterial small subunit ribosomal RNA", at positions 524 to 776 of the family's 1533-position model. The record is from RNAcentral.